This 384-nucleotide unclassified non-coding RNA is filed under the name soil metagenome. RNAcentral describes it as "partial contains 5.8S ribosomal RNA, internal transcribed spacer 2, and large subunit ribosomal RNA". The stretch from base 1 to 120 matches the Rfam family "5.8S ribosomal RNA", at positions 35 to 154 of the family's 154-position model. The record is from RNAcentral.
GAUGAAGAACGUAGCGAAAUGCGAUAAGUAAUGUGAAUUGCAGAAUUCAGUGAAUCAUCGAAUCUUUGAACGCACCUUGCACCCUUUGGCAUUCCGAAGGGUAUGCUCGUUUGAGUGUCAUUGUACUCUCACACUCCCAAUUGCUUUGGAUUGGGAGCGGUGGACUUGGGUGUUGCUGCUUGACUGAGGCUCACCUGAAAUAUGUUAGUGCACCUCUUGAUUGGACAUAGUACGGCGUGAUAAGUGUCUUCGCCGGCUCCUCGCAAAGAGGGUGGCCGAUCGGGAGCUCUGUUGCUUCAAACUGUCUGCGGACAAUCUUCUGGCGACUUGACCUCAAAUCGAGUAGGACUACCCGCUGAACUUAAGCAUAUCAAAAGCGGAGGA